Molecule: ribosomal RNA, 305 nt
Filed under: uncultured bacterium
Lineage: Bacteria
Description: partial 16S ribosomal RNA
Rfam family: Bacterial small subunit ribosomal RNA
Source: RNAcentral
ACAGCAGCCGCCGCGGUAAUACGUAGGGUGCAAGCGUUAAUCGGAAUUACUGGGCGUAAAGCGUGCGCAGGCGGCUAUGCAAGACAGAUGUGAAAUCCCCGGGCUCAACCUGGGAACCGCAUUUGUGACUGCAUGGCUAGAGUACGGUAGAGGGGGAUGGAAUUCCGCGUGUAGCAGUGAAAUGCGUAGAUAUGCGGAGGAACACCGAUGGCGAAGGCAAUCCCCUGGACCUGUACUGACGCUCAUGCACGAAAGCGUGGGGAGCAAACAGGAUUAGAUACCCCUGUAGUCCCUGUCUCUUAUAC